This 450-nucleotide ribosomal RNA is filed under the name uncultured bacterium. RNAcentral's name for it is "SSU rRNA". It matches the Rfam family "Bacterial small subunit ribosomal RNA", at positions 26 to 518 of the family's 1533-position model. The record is from RNAcentral.
AGAGCGAACGCUGGCGGCAGGCUUAACACAUGCAAGUCGAGCGGGCGUAGCAAUACGUCAGCGGCAGACGGGUGAGUAACGCGUGGGAACGUACCUUUUGGUUCGGAACAACCCAGGGAAACUUGGGCUAAUACCGGAUAAGCCCUUACGGGGAAAGAUUUAUCGCCGAAAGAUCGGCCCGCGUCUGAUUAGCUAGUUGGUGGGGUAAUGGCCCACCAAGGCGACGAUCAGUAGCUGGUCUGAGAGGAUGAUCAGCCACAUUGGGACUGAGACACGGCCCAAACUCCUACGGGAGGCAGCAGUGGGGAAUAUUGGACAAUGGGCGCAAGCCUGAUCCAGCCAUGCCGCGUGAGUGAUGAAGGCCCUAGGGUUGUAAAGCUCUUUUGUGCGGGAAGAUAAUGACGGUACCGGCAAGGAAUAAGCCCCGGCUAACUUCGCGCCAGCAGCCGC